RNAcentral lists this ribosomal RNA (403 nucleotides) under bacterium. RNAcentral describes it as "partial 16S ribosomal RNA". It matches the Rfam family "Bacterial small subunit ribosomal RNA", at positions 355 to 776 of the family's 1533-position model. The record is from RNAcentral.
UGGGGAAUAUUGCACAAUGGAGGGAACUCUGAUGCAGCGACGCCGCGUGAACGAAGAAGGCUUUCGAGUCGUAAAGUUCUUUUAUAUGGGAAGAUAAUGACGGUACCAUAAGAAGAAGCCCCGGCUAACUACGUGCCAGCAGCCGCGGUAAUACGUAGGGGGCUAGCGUUGUCCGGAAUCACUGGGCGUAAAGGGUUCGCAGGCGGAAAUGCAAGUCAGGUGUAAAAGGCAGUAGCUUAACUACUGUAAGCAUUUGAAACUGCAUAUCUUGAGAAGAGUAGAGGUAAGUGGAAUUUUUAGUGUAGCGGUGAAAUGGGUAGAUAUUAAAAAGAAUACCGGUGGCGAAGGCGACUUACUGGGCUCAUUCUGACGCUGAGGAACGAAAGCGUGGGUAGCAAACAGG